RNAcentral lists this long non-coding RNA (223 nucleotides) under Pelobates cultripes (western spadefoot toad). Lineage: Eukaryota; Metazoa; Chordata; Amphibia; Anura; Pelobatidae. The record is from RNAcentral.
CAGGAUCUCUGGAGGCUGUUUGCAACUGUGGUCACAAAAUUCAAUGUUCUGGGAGAAUUGGAAGCAGCUCAAUUUUUUGGGGGCCCCUUACACAGCUCAAGGUCUGGGCCCCAGGGCCUGACGGUGAGUAUGCCCAUAAGGCCCACUCAUAAGUUCCACCCACCCAUGAGUUCACUCACAGGGAGUGGAGUGUGUAGGGGAUGUGUUAUGUGUUAUUGUAGAG